RNAcentral lists this long non-coding RNA (257 nucleotides) under Lathyrus oleraceus (garden pea). RNAcentral describes it as "Pisum sativum (pea) long non-coding RNA (PSAT_LNC033515)". The record is from RNAcentral. Lineage: Eukaryota; Viridiplantae; Streptophyta; Magnoliopsida; Fabales; Fabaceae.
UUUUUUUUCGUUUUUCGUUUUUUUUAAACACGUGGGCUUCGCCUAGCGAGCAUGACAGUUCAAGAAAUUCCUCUGAGCGUAGGUGAUUCUGGUGGCUUUUCUUGGGACUCGCUAGGCGACCCAUUCUGCUCGCCUAGCGAGCAUGACAACUCAUGAACAAACUUUUGCUCCUUCAAGAUUAACGUUUUGACUGACGAAUAGACCCCAUUUGAACCUGUUGGAAGUAUCUCAAGCCAUUCCCUUGUGUUGACUGAUCA